UUGAUCAAUCGAUGAAUUUAAAAAUUCAUCGAUUGAUCAA
RNAcentral lists this non-coding RNA (40 nucleotides) under Brugia malayi. The record is from RNAcentral. Lineage: Eukaryota; Metazoa; Nematoda; Chromadorea; Rhabditida; Onchocercidae.